This 321-nucleotide ribosomal RNA is filed under the name uncultured archaeon. RNAcentral's name for it is "bacterial SSU rRNA". It matches the Rfam family "Archaeal small subunit ribosomal RNA", at positions 19 to 346 of the family's 1478-position model. The record is from RNAcentral.
GGACCCGACUGCUAUCGGAUUGGGGCUAAGCCAUGCGAGUCAACUCCGCAAGGGGUGGCGCACGGCUCAGUAACACGUAGUCAACCUACCCUAGGGACGGGGAUAACCUCGGGAAACUGAGGCUAAACCCCGAUAGGCUAUAACUUCUGGGAUGGGUUAUAGCUGAAAUCUAUAUGGCCCUAGGAUGGGACUGCGGCCGAUCAGGUUGUUGGUGGGGUAAUGGCCCACCAAGCCUAUAACCGGUGCGGGCUCUGAGAGGAGGAGCCCGGAGAUGGGCACUGAGACAAGGGCCCAGGUCCUACGGGCGCAGCAGGCGCGAUG